AGAGUUUGAUCCUGGCUGAGAGUGAACGCUGGCGGCGUGCUUAACACAUGCAAGUCGAACGAGAACGGGUUAAAGCUUGCUUUAACUGUCAGCUAAGUGGCGCACGGGUGAGUAAUAUAUAGGUAACGUGCCUUCAAGAAGGGGAUAACAAUUGGAAACGAUUGCUAAUACCCUAUAUGCCUUUAAGUCUUAAGACUGCAAGGGAAAUAUUUAUAGCUUGAAGAUCGGCCUGUACAGUAUCAGUUAGUUGGUGAGGUAAUGGCUCACCAAGACAAUGACGCUUAACUGGUUUGAGAGGAUGAUCAGUCACACUGGAACUGAGACACGGUCCAGACUCCUACGGGAGGCAGCAGUGGGGAAUAUUGCACAAUGGACGAAAGUCUGAUGCAGCAACGCCGCGUGGAGGAUGACACAUUUCGGUGCGUAAACUCCUUUUAUAUAGGAAGAUAAUGACGGUACUAUAUGAAUAAGCACCGGCUAACUCCGUGCCAGCAGCCGCGGUAAUACGGAGGGUGCAAGCGUUACUCGGAAUCACUGGGCGUAAAGAGAAUGUAGGCGGGUAGAUAAGUUUGAAGUGAAAUCCAAUGGCUCAACCAUUGAACUGCUUUGAAAACUGUUUACCUAGAAUAUGGGAGAGGUAGAUGGAAUUUCUGGUGUAGGGGU
Molecule: ribosomal RNA, 663 nt
Filed under: uncultured bacterium
Lineage: Bacteria
Description: bacterial SSU rRNA
Rfam family: Bacterial small subunit ribosomal RNA
Source: RNAcentral